GUGAAACCAAAGAAAUCGUCAUGGUGGAAAAGAGCUUAAUAUGGGUAUGAAAAAAUGUUGAUUUCUCUCACCCCAGAGAUAUUUCUAAGAAACUAGAAAUAAUUUUCUAGGUAAAUGGGCUUAUGCAAAAUAUAAGGAAAGAGUCCACAAUCACAGAAGAUGUUCUGCUCUUCACUGACAUGUCUCUUCCUGGACAUGCUAAUCCUUAUGGAAUUCACCAACAUAUUGCAUAGAGAAAACCAUUCCAUCAAUAUGGAAGAAAUAAAAUAAAGCCAAGAAAGAAGAUGGAUGAUCUGUCAAGCAAUGAAAGACUUUUCUCCUCUGGGACAAUGUACCACUUCCACAGUACUCUCCAUCCCUCCCUGAUCAGGAUGCUGGUGUCUGGGGAACAUCUAAUGGACACUGCGAGUUGACCAAGACAAAACAUUUGAUCAUAUCAGAAAAACAAUAUCUCUUGUAUUUUCUGCAGUGGGAAGGGCAUAACAACAUUCUUUCGUGGAAGUUUGGCAGUCAUCCAUCAUCAAUGCUCUCCUUGGAAGUUCUCAUGCAUCAUGGAAAAGGGCCUGCCCUCUCCCUACCAACAAUAUUUGCCUGGAAGGAGAAAAUUCCCCCUCCCCACAGCUCUAGCUCUCUUUCUCUGACAAAUCCGCAGUGCAGCAGGAAGUGGCAAGUAGGUGUGAAUAAACUCAGCCAAUAUUCAGUGCCAAGAAAAUGAAGCACUUUUUUUU
RNAcentral lists this long non-coding RNA (728 nucleotides) under Parus major (Great Tit). RNAcentral's name for it is "lncRNA (ENSPMJG00000019459.1)". Lineage: Eukaryota; Metazoa; Chordata; Aves; Passeriformes; Paridae. The record is from RNAcentral.